Molecule: ribosomal RNA, 785 nt
Filed under: uncultured bacterium
Lineage: Bacteria
Description: bacterial SSU rRNA
Rfam family: Bacterial small subunit ribosomal RNA
Source: RNAcentral
CAAGUCGAACGAGACUUUUUAUUUGAUGCUUGCAUCUUUUAAAAAGUUGAGUGGCGAACGGGUGAGUAACACGUGGGUAACCUACCUUAAAGUGGGGGAUAACACUUGGAAACAGGUGCUAAUACCGCAUAACCAUCAAAACCGCCUGGUUUUGAUGUUAAAGAUGGUUCUGCUAUCGCUUUAAGAUGGACCCGCGGCGUAUUAGCUAGUUGGUGAGGUAACGGCUUACCAAGGCAAUGAUACGUAGCCGAACUGAGAGGUUGAUCGGCCACAUUGGGACUGAGACACGGCCCAAACUCCUACGGGAGGCAGCAGUAGGGAAUCUUCCACAAUGGACGAAAGUCUGAUGGAGCAACGCCGCGUGAGUGAAGAAGGUUUUCGGAUCGUAAAACUCUGUUGCCAGAGAAGAACGUGUGUGAGAGUAACUGUUCACGCAGUGACGGUAUCUGACCAGAAAGUCACGGCUAACUACGUGCCAGCAGCCGCGGUAAUACGUAGGUGGCAAGCGUUGUCCGGAUUUAUUGGGCGUAAAGGGAGCGCAGGCGGUCUUUUAAGUCUGAUGUGAAAGCCUUCGGCUUAACCCAAGUCGGGCAUUGCAAACUGGGAGACUUGAGUGCAGAAGAGGAGAGUGGAACUCCAUGUGUAGCGGUGAAAUGCGUAGAUAUAUGGAAGAACACCAGUGGCGAAAGCGGCUCUCUGGUCUGUAACUGACGCUGACGUUCGAAAGCGUGGGUAGCAAACAGGAUUAGAUACCCUGGUAGUCCACGCCGUAAACGAUGAAUGCU